Molecule: long non-coding RNA, 2777 nt
Organism: Hypanus sabinus (Atlantic stingray)
Lineage: Eukaryota; Metazoa; Chordata; Chondrichthyes; Myliobatiformes; Dasyatidae
Exons: 2
Source: RefSeq, a predicted model, not a curated record
CUGGGGAGUUGCUGGUGACACCACCCUCUGGGGCUCAAACGUUAAGGUAGCUUUUCUUCCCUGCACCUUGCAGCUCUCAUAUAAUGAAACGUCUAAAGGUACUUCACAGAAAAUGUAUGAAGUGAAAGCACAGCCUAAGAAAAAGAUAGCAGCACAAAUGACCAAAGGAGAAUUUUAAGGGAGGGGAGAGUGGUAGGUAAGUGGUGAGUUUUAAGGUUGCUGCAUUUGACAGCUGACAAUGGUUGAGUGAUAUAAAUUUGCGAAGUGGCCUCAAUUAGUAAAGUACAAAGAUUAGGAGUCUUGCCUAGCAGAUAUUGUGGACAUGAAUGAUUAAAAGAUUGUGAGAUUUUCUCAGCAGUCCUUUGGGAUGCCUGUUUCUGCAGUAAUUUUCUGGGUACUAAGGUGAUCAAUAAGGUUACUAUUGGAACCAGAAACUGCUUCACAGCUGGGGGCAAGAGAUCCCAGACUGGGUGAGUAGGUAGCUUAUGAGCUAGGGUGUUUUUGAUGCUGGGUUUGUUUGAUCCCAAUGAAUGGACUUGGUACCAUCACAAAUGCCCCUCUUCUACUUUGGGCAGAUAUGGGUUGGGGUUCUUGACAGUCAGUGGGAAAGCUACUUUUUUUUUUCAAAAAGGCUUUGAGCACAUCCUUUAAUUUUCCCACUUUCCAUAUGGAAUUCUCUUUCCAUGGCAUAGCUCAGAACACAGUGUCUGUUUCAGGGUUACCAUAACCAAACCUCUGGUAAUCAACAUCAGUAUCCUGGGAGUUAGAAUUGACCAGAUGGUAAACUAGAGUAAUCAUGGGCAGCAAGAGGUAAGGUGGCAAUAACUCACCUACUUAUGGUUCAGCAUGUGCAGGUUUGGCUUGUCAUCUAAAAGUUUAGCAAACUUCUAUAGAUGCAUAGUGACAGCAUUCUGACUGAUUGUACCAUGGCCUGGUAUGGAAACACCAAUGCCAAUGAAUGGAAAACCUUAAAAAAAGUAGUCCAUCAUAGGAAAAGCCCUCCUCACCAUUGUGCACAUCUACAAGAAGUGCUGCCAUAAGAAAGCAGCAUCCAUCAUCAAGGACCCCUACCAUCUCUUCUCACUGCUGCUACCAGGAGGAGGUACAAGACUUUUAGAUCCCACAGCACCAGGUUCAGGAACGGUUAUCAUCUUUCAAUCAUCGGGCUCCUGAAUCAGUGUAGAUAACUUUGCUCAUCUCAGCAGUGAACUGAUUCCACAACCUAUGGGCUCACUUUCAAGGACUCUACAACUCAUGUUCUCAUUUAUUUUUUCUUCUUAUUAUUUGUUUCUUUUUUUGUAUUUGCACAUUGGUUGUUUGUCCAUCUUCAUUUGUGUGUAGUUUUUCAUUAAUUCUAUUGUAUUUCUUUGGUCUUCUGUGUAUGGUCACAGGAAAAUGAAUCUCAGUGAUAUAUACAUACUUUGAUAACAAAUUACUUUGAACCACUCAACUAUUCAUAAUGCUUCUAGUUGGCAGCAUGUCAGAAUCUAUGAAGAGGUGCGUCAUCUAUAACCAUUGGACAUCAGAAAAUUCUAUCUGUUUCAUUUUUGAAUGUGAAUCCCAAGAUUACACCCAAAGUCCAGCAGGACCAACUAAAAUGUGUUUUCUUUGUUUUUAUUUGUCUAAAAUUGUGUAUAAUUUGUUUACAUAGAACAUAGAACACUACAGCACUGUACAGGGCCUUUAGUUCACGAUGUUGUGCUGACCUUUUAACAUCCUCCAGGACUAAUAUAAACCUUCACUCCUGCAUAAGCACAUGGAUGAAAGAAAAGUGGAGGGCUAUCUAUGAGUCUCUUAAAUGACCUUAAUGAAUCAGUCUCUACCAGUACCUCUGGCAUUCCAUGCACCCACCACUCUCUAUUUUUUAAAAAAAACAAACUACCUCUUAGAUCCCCCUCUAGAUGUUCAUCCAAUCAACUCAAAAUUAUGCCCUCUUGUAUUAAUCGUUUUCACUCUGAAAAAAAGUGCUUACUGUCCACUCUAUUUAUGCCUCUUGUUGUCUUAUACAGUACUCAAUCUAGUCAUCCCUGAUCUUUCUUCACUCCAAAAAGUCCUAGCUAUUCAACCAUUCCACAUAUGUUCUAUAAUCUAGGCAGCAUUUUGGUAAAUCCCCUCUGCACCCUUUCUAAAGCUUUAACAUCCUUCCUAUAAUGAGACAAUCAGAACUGAACACAAUACUGUGAGUGUGAUCUAACCAGGGUUUUUCUAGAGCUGCAACAUUACCUUAGGGCUCUUGAACUCAACUGAUGAAGGCUAAUGCACCACAUGCCUUCUUAAGCAUCCUAUCAACUUUUGUGGUAACUUUAAAAGAUCAAUCAAUGUGGAUCCCAAGAUCCAUCAUUUCCUCCACACUGCCAGGAAUCCUGUCAUUAAUCCUGUAUUUUACCUUCAAAUAUAACCUUCCAAAGUAAAUAACAUCACACCUUCUCUGGAUUGAACCUCAUCUCCCACUUCUCAACACAGCUCUGCAUUCUCUCAAUGUCCCAUGACAACUUUCCACACAAUACCACCAAUCAUGUCAUGUGCAAACUUACUAAUAAGCACUCCUUCUUCCUCAUCUUAAGUCAUUUAUAAAAAUCAUAAGGAGUAGUGGUCCCAGAACAGACCCAGUGGAACACUACUGCUCACAGAUCUCCAUUUAAUUUAUGAUUUUAAUUUGUGAUUACUACUUAUCUGAUACUAUGUGCUUGUGAUGCUGCUGCAAGUAAGGUUUUUGUUCCUCCUCUGCAUACAUGUACCUGUGUACUGUAUAAGACAAUAAAAUGACUUUGACUUUC